AACGUAGGAGACAAACGUUAUCCGGAGUUACUGGGCGUAAAGGGCGUGUAGGUGGUUUCGUAAGUCUGGCGUGAAAUUUUUCGGCUUAACCGGGAAAGGUCGUCGGAUACUGCGGAGCUAGAGGACGGUGGAGGCGUGUGGAAUUCCGGGUGUAGUGGUGAAAUGCGUAGAGAUCCGGAGGAACACCAGUGGCGAAGGCGACACGCUGGGCCGUACCUGACACUGAUGCGCGACAGCAUGGGGAGCAAACAGG
This 253-nucleotide ribosomal RNA is filed under the name uncultured bacterium. RNAcentral describes it as "partial 16S ribosomal RNA". It matches the Rfam family "Bacterial small subunit ribosomal RNA", at positions 524 to 776 of the family's 1533-position model. The record is from RNAcentral.